ACGCUCGACACCUACGGGAGGCGAGCAGGUCGGGAAUAUUGCGCAAUGGAGGAAACUCUGACGCAGUGACGCCGCGUGCAGGAAGAAGGUUUUCGGAUUGUAAACUGCUUUAGACAGGGAAGAAAAAGGACAGUACCUGUAGAAUAAGCUCCGGCUAACUACGUGCCAACAGCCGCGGUAAUCUGAGCGGGCUGGCAAGGC
RNAcentral lists this ribosomal RNA (201 nucleotides) under uncultured bacterium. Its description in RNAcentral is "partial 16S ribosomal RNA". It matches the Rfam family "Bacterial small subunit ribosomal RNA", at positions 328 to 539 of the family's 1533-position model. The record is from RNAcentral.